AGGAUGAACGCUGGCGGCGUGCCUAACACAUGCAAGUCGAACGUCCUGUCUCGCAAGAGGCAGGGAGUGGCGGACGGGUGAGUACCACGUGGGUCAUCUACCGUGAGGUGAGGAAUACCGGCGAGAAAUCGCCGACAAGACCGCAUAGGCUCGAUGCAAGUCGAGCAAAGCUCUUUCGAGAGAGGGAGCGCCACACGAGGAGCCUGCGCCCGAUUAGCUAGCUGGUGGAGUAACGGUUCACCAGGGCGACGAUCGGUAGCUGGUCUGAGAGGACGAUCAGCCACACUGGGAUUGAGAACGGCCCAGACUCCUACGGGGGCAGCAGUGAGGAAUUUUCGUCAAUGGGGGCAACCCUGAACGAGCAACGCCGCGUGCAGGAAGAAGGUUUCGGAUCGUAAACUGCUUUUCUCGGGGAAGAGAACGGACGGUACCCGAGGAAUCAGCCCGGCUAACUACGUGCCAGCAGCCGCGGU
RNAcentral lists this ribosomal RNA (473 nucleotides) under uncultured bacterium. Its description in RNAcentral is "SSU rRNA". It matches the Rfam family "Bacterial small subunit ribosomal RNA", at positions 26 to 521 of the family's 1533-position model. The record is from RNAcentral.